AUGGAAAUUGAUGCUGCAGCAACGCUACUCACUGGAAUCCUCUCUAAGAGAGGGAUAGACGCACCGGCGAAACUGCUACACAACUUGAUUAAACUGGGACGACGYUGGGGUCACUUUUCUGACACCCACUUGUUGUUUUCGGUAUCUGAAUGGCGAGACUUUGGGGAAACCAUGUGGCAAAAAUCAAUUGUUGGGGGUGAAAAGGAGGAGAAGGAGAUAAAGGCCGUUCACGCACUUUGGAGAACUGUGUUAGAGACUCUGAAGGCUUUAAAAGCCGAAAGGGAAGUAGCAUGCGCGGCAGCGCAGAUGCUGGGUCCGGGAGUCCCUGCUUCCAAGCCCCAGAACAAGCCAGGGCCCGUUGCACGAUUUUUUGGCUUGCCUGCGGUCAGAGGCAUGUCCGGGACGGUUUGCCAGAACGCUACUGAGGUGCGGGAGAAAGUAGAGGGUCGGAGCCCCGGUACGUCGGAGGACAUCCCAAGCCCCGGUCCGAGCCAGAGAAAAGAGGAAGUUGCCGCACCAGAGGCUGGUGCGAGCUCUGAGACCAAAGCGGAAGUGCGCCGGGGGGCAGUCCCGAAAGGGGCGGAGGCCGCGCCUCUUGCCGACCUCGUAGACUUGGGCGGAGAGAGGUGUCGACCUUCCCCUACUGCUCCUCCCUUGCCGCCGCCUACCGCACCUCCCCUGAAUCCGCCGCGCUGCCCGUCACCGCCGCUGCCGGCAGCUCCCUUGUAUCCGCCGCUACCAUCAACGCCACCACCCGCACUACCAUCAUGCCCUCCGCCCACGGAGUACCCACCACUGCCUGCAUCUGGAGAGUCAUCUGGAUGUCACACGCCUGAUGCCGCAAAAACAGCACCGUCACCCCAGGGAGCCACUGCAAAAAUGUUGCAAGCAGUACUGGAGCGCCUGGAAAAGAUAGAGGUUGAGCAGCGGCGAGAAGGAGUUACCGCCCUGUCUACAAAGACCGCCAGGUCGAGCAGCACCAACAUGGUGGAGCGGCAUUAUUAA
This 1005-nucleotide long non-coding RNA is filed under the name Apteryx haastii (Great spotted kiwi). RNAcentral describes it as "lncRNA (ENSAHAG00000008842.1)". Lineage: Eukaryota; Metazoa; Chordata; Aves; Apterygiformes; Apterygidae. The record is from RNAcentral.